AAACCUCUGCGUCUGAAUCUGUUCAUAUUUUUAAAGAGCGGUUUUAUUCUGAUGCCCGUCUUCCUGUGUGUCUCUCUAGGAGAAGUGUGUGAAAUCUGUCCCUCCAGUUGGCACAGGGGUCCCAAUGGGACCUGUUACUUUGUCUCAUCUGAAGGGAAAUCCUGGGAUUUUUCCUAUAAUGCGUGUUCUGUCCUGGGGGCUCAUCUCGCUGUGAUCCAGGACAGAGAGGAGCUGGAGAUGCUCCGUGAGGUAACUGUGACUGGUUUUCGGUACUGGAUUGGGCUGAGCAGUAACGGCAGUGCUAGGUGGCGCUGGCUUGAUGGGACACAGCUACUCACUAAUGUGGUCACAGAUGGUGAUGACAGCCACAGAAGCUGUGGAUACUUAAGAGGGACCAUAAGCACGUUUCAUUCCGAUUCCUGCAGCACAGAGCUCCGCUGGGUCUGUGAGCGAAGCUCUGUGCGAUUGUGAGGGGCCGCACCGCCAUCUCUAACAGCUGGACAUCACAGAGCUCACCGCCUGCCAUGACAACAGGCUACCACAAGGUGGAGACAGAGAGCAAAAAAACGGGUCCCACGACAGACCACAGCAGUGUCCUCCAAUCCUGUUUCUUAUAACCCUGGCAUCCCCAGGAAUCUCCCAGUCUGGUUUUAUUGAAUUAAAAAUGAUGUAUAACGUUCUUCCUCCAUUUAAUCAACAUACAGUAUGAAGGUAUACAAUGCUGUUUGCCGUUUUGUACAAUUAAAAGAUGAUCCAG
Non-coding RNA from Lepisosteus oculatus (spotted gar), 757 nucleotides. Lineage: Eukaryota; Metazoa; Chordata; Actinopteri; Semionotiformes; Lepisosteidae. The record is from RefSeq and is a predicted model, not a curated record.